UACGAAGGGGGCUAGCGUUGUUCGGAAUUACUGGGCGUAAAGCGCGCGCAGGCGGUCUUCCAAGUCAGUGGUGAAAGCCCGGAGCUCAACUCCGGAACUGCCAUUGAAACUGUAAGACUUGAGGAUGAGAGAGGUGAGUGGAAUUCCCAGUGUAGAGGUGAAAUUCGUAGAUAUUGGGAAGAACACCGGUGGCGAAGGCGGCUCACUGGCUCAUUACUGACGCUCAGGCGCGACAGCGUGGGGAUCAAAC
This 250-nucleotide ribosomal RNA is filed under the name uncultured bacterium. RNAcentral describes it as "partial 16S ribosomal RNA". It matches the Rfam family "Bacterial small subunit ribosomal RNA", at positions 524 to 773 of the family's 1533-position model. The record is from RNAcentral.